Molecule: ribosomal RNA, 253 nt
Filed under: uncultured bacterium
Lineage: Bacteria
Description: partial 16S ribosomal RNA
Rfam family: Bacterial small subunit ribosomal RNA
Source: RNAcentral
UACGUAGGGAGCAAGCGUUGUUCGGAUUUACUGGGCGUAAAGGGCGCGUAGGCGGCGCGGUAAGUCACUUGUGAAAUCUCUGAGCUUAACUCAGAACGGCCAAGUGAUACUGCAGUGCUAGAGUGCAGAAGGGGCAAUCGGAAUUCUUGGUGUAGCGGUGAAAUGCGUAGAUAUCAAGAGGAACGCCUGAGGUGAAGACGGGUUGCUAGGCUGACACUGACGCUGAGGCGCGAAAGCCAGGGGAGCAAACGGG